AACGGACGCUGGCGGCAUGCCUAACACAUGCAAGUCGAACGAGAUCUUCGGGUCUAGUGGCGCACGGGUGCGUAACGCGUGGGAAUCUGCCCUUUGGUUCGGAAUAACAGUUGGAAACGACUGCUAAUACCGGAUGAUGACGAAAGUCCAAAGAUUUAUCGCCAGAGGAUGAGCCCGCGUAGGAUUAGCUAGUUGGUGUGGUAAAGGCGUACCAAGGCGACGAUCCUUAGCUGGUCUGAGAGGAUGAUCAGCCACACUGGGACUGAGACACGGCCCAGACUCCUACGGGAGGCAGCAGUGGGGAAUAUUGGACAAUGGGCGAAAGCCUGAUCCAGCAAUGCCGCGUGAGUGAUGAAGGCCUUAGGGUUGUAAAGCUCUUUUACCCGGGAUGAUAAUGACAGUACCGGGAGAAUAAGCUCCGGCUAACUCCGUGCCAGCAGCCGCCGCAG
Molecule: ribosomal RNA, 449 nt
Filed under: uncultured bacterium
Lineage: Bacteria
Description: partial 16S ribosomal RNA
Rfam family: Bacterial small subunit ribosomal RNA
Source: RNAcentral